Molecule: ribosomal RNA, 465 nt
Filed under: Vreelandella stevensii
Lineage: Bacteria; Pseudomonadati; Pseudomonadota; Gammaproteobacteria; Oceanospirillales; Halomonadaceae
Description: partial 16S ribosomal RNA
Rfam family: Bacterial small subunit ribosomal RNA
Source: RNAcentral
CCUACGGGUGGCAGCAGUGGGGAAUAUUGGACAAUGGGCGAAAGCCUGAUCCAGCCAUGCCGCGUGUGUGAAGAAGGCCUUCGGGUUGUAAAGCACUUUCAGUGGGGAAGAAAGCCUUGGGGCUAAUACCCUCGAGGAAGGACAUCACCCACAGAAGAAGCACCGGCUAACUCCGUGCCAGCAGCCGCGGUAAUACGGAGGGUGCGAGCGUUAAUCGGAAUUACUGGGCGUAAAGCGCGCGUAGGCGGUCUGAUAAGCCGGUUGUGAAAGCCCCGGGCUCAACCUGGGAACGGCAUCCGGAACUGUCAGGCUAGAGUGCAGGAGAGGAAGGUAGAAUUCCCGGUGUAGCGGUGAAAUGCGUAGAGAUCGGGAGGAAUACCAGUGGCGAAGGCGGCCUUCUGGACUGACACUGACGCUGAGGUGCGAAAGCGUGGGUAGCAAACAGGAUUACAUACCCGGGUAGUC